RNAcentral lists this ribosomal RNA (1208 nucleotides) under Listeria monocytogenes. RNAcentral describes it as "partial 23S ribosomal RNA". It matches the Rfam family "Bacterial large subunit ribosomal RNA", at positions 1 to 1204 of the family's 2925-position model. Lineage: Bacteria; Bacillati; Bacillota; Bacilli; Caryophanales; Listeriaceae. RNAcentral also lists the same sequence under 1 other name. The record is from RNAcentral.
GGUUAAGUUAGAAAGGGCGCACGGUGGAUGCCUUGGCACUAGGAGCCGAAGAAGGACGGGACUAACACCGAUAUGCUUUGGGGAGCUGUACGUAAGCGUUGAUCCAGAGAUUUCCGAAUGGGGGAACCCACUAUCUUUAGUCGGAUAGUAUCCUUACGUGAAUACAUAGCGUGAGGAAGGCAGACCCAGGGAACUGAAACAUCUAAGUACCUGGAGGAAGAGAAAGAAAAAUCGAUUUCCUGAGUAGCGGCGAGCGAAACGGAAAGAGCCCAAACCAAGAAGCUUGCUUCUUGGGGUUGUAGGACACUCUAUACGGAGUUACAAAAGAAAGUUAUAAAUGAAGCGGUCUGGAAAGGCCCGCCAAAGACGGUAACAGCCCGGUAGUUGAAAUGGCUUUCCCUCCAGAGUGGAUCCUGAGUACGGCGGAACACGUGAAAUUCCGUCGGAAUCCGGGAGGACCAUCUCCCAAGGCUAAAUACUCCCUAGUGACCGAUAGUGAACCAGUACCGUGAGGGAAAGGUGAAAAGCACCCCGGAAGGGGAGUGAAACAGUUCCUGAAACCGUGUGCCUACAAGUAGUUAGAGCCCGUUAAUGGGUGAUAGCGUGCCUUUUGUAGAAUGAACCGGCGAGUUACGAUUUGUUGCAAGGUUAAGCGGAAAAAGCGGAGCCGUAGCGAAAGCGAGUCUGAAUAGGGCGCAUAAGUAACAGGUCGUAGACCCGAAACCAGGUGAUCUACCCAUGUCCAGGAUGAAGGUAAGGUAAUACUUACUGGAGGUCCGAACCCACGCACGUUGAAAAGUGCGGGGAUGAGGUGUGGGUAGCGGAGAAAUUCCAAUCGAACUUGGAGAUAGCUGGUUCUCUCCGAAAUAGCUUUAGGGCUAGCCUCGAGGUAAAGAGUCAUGGAGGUAGAGCACUGUUUGGACUAGGGGCCCUUCUCGGGUUACCGAAUUCAGAUAAACUCCGAAUGCCAUGUACUUAUACUCGGGAGUCAGACUGCGAGUGAUAAGAUCCGUAGUCGAAAGGGAAACAGCCCAGACCACCAGUUAAGGUCCCCAAAUAUAUGUUAAGUGGAAAAGGAUGUGGGGUUGCUUAGACAACCAGGAUGUUGGCUUAGAAGCAGCCACCAUUGAAAGAGUGCGUAAUAGCUCACUGGUCGAGUGACCCCGCGCCGAAAAUGUACCGGGGCUAAACAUAUUACCGAAACUGUG